RNAcentral lists this non-coding RNA (45 nucleotides) under Schistosoma mattheei. Lineage: Eukaryota; Metazoa; Platyhelminthes; Trematoda; Strigeidida; Schistosomatidae. The record is from RNAcentral.
AUCCGCAUGACGAGUCACAAAUAGGACGAAAUAUGUGUCCUGGAU